ACAUACUGCAAGCAUCGGUUUCCAUUUGUUGUCUCUAAAGGGACAUUCAUAAAUAAAUAAAUGCAAGAGAAGAUUUAAAACAACAAUAAGAAGAACAUUUACGAACCAAUGGAAACACUUGUGAAUUCGAUUCAACUUUUGCAUCUUUCAUGAAAAUUCAUUUGUUUAUUUUAUAUAUUUUUGUUGUUUUUUGUUUUUUUUUGACAGAUAAUAUUGUGUACAGGGAUACAAUUCACAUUUUAGUUGUCCCUUAAUAAAAAAAAAAAUAGAAAAAUAAAAAUAUUGGUUUAAAUGAAUUUAAUCUGUGGAUUCUGUAAAGUAUUUCAUUGUGCUCAGUCUUUUCCAGUUAUUUUUUGGUUUUUUUUGUUUACAUUAUUUUUUUUUUCCUCAAUUUAUCUAAUGCCAAAAUGGCUCAUCAAAAGAAAUAACAUUCCCCUUAUGUUUUAUCCAGUGUAAAUUUAAUAAAAUAAAGAAUUUAUUUACUUUUUAUAUAAGAAUC
RNAcentral lists this long non-coding RNA (499 nucleotides) under Octopus vulgaris (common octopus). The record is from RNAcentral. Lineage: Eukaryota; Metazoa; Mollusca; Cephalopoda; Octopoda; Octopodidae.